Molecule: long non-coding RNA, 378 nt
Organism: Cebus imitator (Panamanian white-faced capuchin)
Lineage: Eukaryota; Metazoa; Chordata; Mammalia; Primates; Cebidae
Exons: 3
Source: RefSeq, a predicted model, not a curated record
GGCUGCUCUUCAAACAUAGCUCCUCUUCUGGCAGACGCACCACCUAGUUCUGGGAGAGAGGCCGGCACCGGCCCGCUAGGUGGGGCACACCGUCCUCUGCGUUUUCCUGUCUUGGCUCAACACAUAGUCCUGUCCAAAUCCUCCCAACCCGAGCAGUGGAAGGGAAGAAGGAAAGGAGGGGCUAAGGAAGGAAACAAAGACACUGACCAGAGCCCCGAGGCUGGAAACCAUAGCUUUCUGCCAUGUGAGGACACCGCCAUCAGCGACUCUGGAGGAAGCAGCAUUCCGGGAAGCAAAGACCACAUCCUCGACAAACACUGACCCUGCCAGUGCUUUGAUCUUUGACUGCCCAGCCUCCGUAACUGUGAGAAAUAAAUC